GAAGCAGCACAGUGGACGGAAACGACGGGAAAAGAGGGUGCAAACCGGGGUGGCUGAGACCUGUCGAGUCUCUGCGUCUUCACGGUCGGCCAACCGGAGUUUUUUUCGGCUCGUGUUGCCCGCCCCCAUCCCCCCCGUUGGUGUGUUGGCGUCCCCAUCACUGUCGCCCGUUUGUGCCUUCCCCCACCCACCAGCAGUUGUGCCUCUCUCUCUCUGUAUUGGGCGGCACUAUCACUGUUACGCUCAAUACAGAGUGUGAAAGAAGGCUGUGUUGACGUUACAGCAGAACAAUGCUACUGGUACCACAAGCCCAAACCGCCGUGAGGGGAAUGUCGGUCGAGCAUCAACAAGCCGCGGCUCGGACCAACACUUUGAUACGCGCCAACCGCCCGAAAAAACGCCCUCGACACGCCCCACACAGCGCCUCUCCAUCCGCCAUAGUGGCUCCCACCGAUCGCCACAUGUGUCUCAACACUGCGCGAUAAAGUUGCCCCAAUCCAAUGAAGACACAGUCCUCUAUCAGCGUCAGUACUAAAAAAAUAAAGUUGCCGUCCAAAGAGGAAGCUCUCUGCUGCCGGUGACAGGAGAUGCUACUAUCUCCGUAAAACAGUCACGUGGAGUCGCACCAGUGGUGGGAGGUGACAGGACGUGAGUGGAGGUGAGUGAGGUGCGAGUGGACGGUGGCAGUGGGACAGAAAGGGAUACCCUAACCCGUAGGCCAACUGAUCCUAGCAGACUUGGAUGCAUAUUGAACCUACCAGGAACGAUUAUGAUACUGACAAGUACGAUGCUGACAAGCGGUGAACGAUUGCCAGUACAAUUCCUCGUGGUGCCGCUUCUUUUUCAAUGCCUAUCUGAGAGAAAGUGUCUUAUGCCCGAGAGUUCAAACUAAUAGUUGCUAUAUUGGUACCGAUACCUUGUGUUUAUGUUAUGUUCCCUAGCCAAUAAAGGUCAAGACAACGUAAGGGCCUUCAAGCCGUGUGC
This 984-nucleotide unclassified non-coding RNA is filed under the name Yarrowia lipolytica. The record is from RNAcentral. Lineage: Eukaryota; Fungi; Ascomycota; Dipodascomycetes; Dipodascales.